RNAcentral lists this ribosomal RNA (497 nucleotides) under uncultured bacterium. Its description in RNAcentral is "partial 16S ribosomal RNA". It matches the Rfam family "Bacterial small subunit ribosomal RNA", at positions 28 to 507 of the family's 1533-position model. The record is from RNAcentral.
GACGAACGCUGGCGGCGUGCCUAAUACAUGCAAGUUGAGCGCUGAAGGUUGGUACUUGUACCAACUGGAUAAGCAGCGAAAGGGUGAGUAAAGCGUGGGGAAUCUGCCUUUGAGCGGGGGACAAAAUUUGGAAACGAAUGCUAAAACCGCAUAAAAACUUUAAACACAAGUUUUAAGUUUGAAAGAUGCAAUUGCAUCACUCAAAGAUGAUCCCGCGUUGUAUUAGCUAGUUGGCGAGGUAAAGGCUCACCAAGGCGAUGAUACAUAGCCGCCCUGAGAGGGUGAUCGGCCAAAUUGGGACUGAGACACGGCCCAAACUACUGCGGGAGGCAGCAGUAGGGAAUCUUCGGCAAUGGACGAAAGUCUGACCGAGCAACGCCGCGUGAGUGAAGAAGGUUUUCGGAUCGUAAAACUCUGUUGGUAGAGAAGAACGUUGGUGAGAGUGGAAAGCUCAUCAAGUGACGGUAACUACCCAGAAAGGGACGGCUAACUACGUG